RNAcentral lists this long non-coding RNA (1212 nucleotides) under Salmo salar (Atlantic salmon). Its description in RNAcentral is "lncRNA (ENSSSAG00000109510.1)". Lineage: Eukaryota; Metazoa; Chordata; Actinopteri; Salmoniformes; Salmonidae. The record is from RNAcentral.
AGAGCGCUUUGUGCGCGGGGGCAUUGUCAUGCUGAAACAGGAAAGGGCCUUCCCCAAACUGUUGCCACAAAGUUGGAAGCACAAAAUGUCAGCACACACACACCUGGCUUCCACAGUGUGCUGAAUGUCAUUGUAUGCUGUAGCGUUAAGAUUUCCCUUCACUGGAACAAAGGGGCCCGAACUAUGAAAAACAGCCCCAGACCAUUAUUCCUCCUCCACCAAACUUUACAGUUGCCACUAUGCAUUUGGGGCAGGUAGCGUUCUCCUGGCAUCCGCCAAACCCAGAUUCGUCCAUUGGACUGACAGAUGGUGAAGCGUGACACAUCACUCCAGAGAACACGUUUCCACUGCUCCAGAGUCCAAUGGCGGCAAGCUUUACACCACUCCAGCCGAUGUUUGGCAUCGCUCGUGGUAAUCUUAGGCUUGUGUGCGGCUGCUCGGCCAUGGAAACCCAUUUCAUGAAGCACAGUUCUUAUGCUGACGUUGCUCCCCAGAGGCAGUUUGGAGUGUUACAACCGAGGACAGAUGAUUCUUAAGCGCUUCAGCACUCGGCUUUCUGUGAGAUUGUGUGGCCUACCACUUCACGGCUGAGCCGUUGUUGCUCCUAGACAUUUCCACUUCACAAUAACAGCACUUACAGUUGACUGGACAGCUCUAGCAGGGUAGACAUUUGAUGAACUAACUUGUUGGAAUGUGGCGUCCUACAGUAUGAUGGUGCCAUGUUGAAAGUCAGUACAGGCCAUUCUACUGCCAAUGUUUGUCUAUGGAGAUUGCUUCGCUGUGCUCAAUGUUAUACACCUGUCAGGAACAGGUGUGGCUGAAUUAGCUGAAUCCACUCAUUUGAAGGGGUGUCCACAUACUUUUGGCCACUGAGUAUUUCUAUAAAAAUUGUAAAAAAACAAACAUUUUUUUAAAUGAUAAAUGCUAAAUGUAAAUGAUAAAGCCUUUCCUUCCUGUUUGUUGUUUUUGGUUUGUGCUGUUGACGGUAGCUACACCUGAUUUAGCAGCCCUAGCAGAAGACAAAGUGUUUCCAUGUUGAACCAUUUCAUGUGUCUGAAGGUACCUGGCAGGCCCAGAGAGCCAAUCAGAGGUCAGAUCACCGUGUCAGCAGUUUCCUCGCACCAAUAGAAAGAAGCCUCGAACACACAGCCAAUCAGAGGUCAGAUCACCGUGUCAACAGUUUCCUCGCACCAAUAGAAAGAAGCCUGGAAC